AUUGAACGCUGGCGGCAGGCUUAACACAUGCAAGUCGAACGAGACCUUCGGGUCUAGUGGCGCACGGGUGCGUAACGCGUGGGAAUCUGCCCUUUGCUACGGAAUAACUCAGAGAAAUUUGUGCUAAUACCGUAUAAUGUCUACGGACCAAAGAUUUAUCGGCAAAGGAUGAGCCCGCGUAAGAUUAGCUUGUUGGUGGGGUAAAGGCCUACCAAGGCGACGAUCUUUAGCUGGUCUGAGAGGAUGAUCAGCCACACUGGGACUGAGACACGGCCCAGACUCCUACGGGAGGCAGCAGUGGGGAAUAUUGGACAAUGGGCGAAAGCCUGAUCCAGCAAUGCCGCGUGAGUGAUGGAGGCCUUAGGGUUGUAAAGCUCUUUUACCAGGGAUGAUAAUGACAGUACCUGGAGAAUAAGCUCCGGCUAACUUCGUGCCAGCCGCCGCGGUAA
RNAcentral lists this ribosomal RNA (449 nucleotides) under uncultured bacterium. Its description in RNAcentral is "partial 16S ribosomal RNA". It matches the Rfam family "Bacterial small subunit ribosomal RNA", at positions 30 to 523 of the family's 1533-position model. The record is from RNAcentral.